RNAcentral lists this ribosomal RNA (406 nucleotides) under uncultured bacterium. Its description in RNAcentral is "partial 16S ribosomal RNA". It matches the Rfam family "Bacterial small subunit ribosomal RNA", at positions 30 to 526 of the family's 1533-position model. The record is from RNAcentral.
AUUGAACGCUGGCGGCAGGCCUAACACAUGCAAGUCGAACGAGUGGCGGACGGGUGAGUAAUGUCUGGGAAACUGCCCGAUGGAGGGGGAUAACUACUGGAAACGGUAGCUAAUACCGCAUACCAUCGGAUGUGCCCAGAUGGGAUUAGCUAGUUGGUGGGGUGACGGCUCACCAAGGCGACGAGCCCUAGCUGGUCUGAGAGGAUGACCAGCCACACUGGAACUGAGACACGGGCCAGACUCCUCCGGGAGGCAGCAGUGGGGAAUAUUGCACAAUGGGCGCAAGCCUUAUGCGUCCAUGCCGCGUGUAUGAAGAAGGCCUUCGGGUUGUAAAGUACUUUCAGAGAGGAGGCGUUACUCGCAGGAUAAGCACCGGCUAACUCCGUGCCAGCAGCCGCGGUAAUAC